GCUUGUUGGCAAAGUUUCUAUUUCCUUCUACUCUCUCAUAGUAGAAGCGCAUAUCAUUGCCCGGUGUGUUUCCGGUAACGAGGG
RNAcentral lists this transfer RNA (84 nucleotides) under Dialister hominis. RNAcentral's name for it is "tRNA-Glu". The record is from RNAcentral. Lineage: Bacteria; Bacillati; Bacillota; Negativicutes; Veillonellales; Veillonellaceae.